CUUUAACUUUGCACACUAACUCCUUAGACUGAACCUUGUUUGAAAGCUGUAGGCGUCAACGGACAAGGCAAACAGUGGAAUUCAAUCUGGUGAUGUUUGAGGAAAGAAGCUGGGAAGGGCAAACAAGGUCACUGCAAAAUGAUCACAAUGGAAAGGCAUGGGAACGCAUUCACAGAUGAAACUGCAAAAAAAAGGCAGCAUGGGAAAGAAUAAAGAAAAUGGAAGAAAACCUGAUUACUGAAACUAUGGAAACUAAGUUGAACUCUGAAUCACAGAUGAACAUACAAGAUAUUCAAGAAAUACAAAAUCAAUGCUUAGACCAAGAGAAGUGAUCCUGGUUGGAAAAGGGCGGGUUGUUAAAUGAUGGUGGAGUAUGGAGAUAUGACACUAGUCAUACAUAGACAAGUGGCCCCAACUGAACUGCCUCCUUAUCUGGUGCAGCAGAUGCACUCCCUAGGAUACAUGGGUGUGCAAAAGAUGAUUGACAGAUUAUCUCAGUGGUGGUGGAAUCCAAAGUUCAGGAUGCAAGCUCAACAAGCAGUCUGCUUCUCAACAGGAUUCUGCUGCUUGGAGUGGCCCACCAGAAGGAGGGUGCACCCUGAUUCCUGGCAAGUGGGUCCUGGUCAAGAAACCGCAUCAGCAAUCCCUGGGAGCUCGGCGGGAAUGUCCUUAGCAAGUGCUGUUUAUUACCAAUUUGGCAGUCAAUGUGCACGGAAGGAGUAGAUGGAUUCACACCAGCCACUGCAAGUCAACUAAAGUAACACCAGAUUAAGACCAGAAAUGCGAGAAGACUUUGAGAAAGUUGAUAAUUAUUGGACAUUAUGGAUUUUAUGUUUGCUGUUCUUAUAUUUACCUAUUUCUCCUACUCAUGAUGUGCCAUCUGAAAUGGCUCAUAAUGUAUAUUUAUGGGUAUACACUAAUAUACAGAUGUUGUUAAUUAUUCAGAUUGUCAGGUACAUCAAUAUAUACCACACACUUCAAACUAUUCACUAAUGCCAGGCAUUCCUGCAGAGCCAGUGAAUGUAUGUUCCCUUUUCAUUAAACAUUUCAGCAAUGGCAAUGUAGGGACUCUACCUGUGGUGCAUCAGUCUGACAAGAGACCUGAGUACAAAGUGGUCAUAGCCCACACAUAUCAUCUCAGACUGAGCCACUUAUGUGAAUUUGAUCAGCAUACUUUGAGAACUAACAUUGCUGAUGCCUUGAACAAGGUAACAACAGAAAUGAUUGCCACGUGCAAAACGGUUCUUCAGAACCAUAUGACAGCAGUUGGGGGGUGGGGGGGUAGUGGAACAUAUGCAGUUAUAGUUAAAGAAUGUUGCACCCACAUACCUGACAACUCCAAAGACGUAACUAAUUCAGCUGAUUGCAUUUGUAAAGAAGUUGCUCAGCUUCAUCAAACCAAUGGAUGUGAUUUCUUUAAUUGGAUUAAUUUCAGUCUCAGAAGCUGGAUUAAAAGCCAUAAUAUUCAUAUUAAUAUGUAUAAUCAUGAUCUUUAUUUUUGUGCUUGUUUGGAGACAAACAUUGCCAGAAUAAUCCAAGCUCAUAUAAGUGUGCUGGAAAUGUCCAGUCAUGAUGUAAUGCUACAAAUGCUUUGAAGAACUUGCAUAUGUUCUUAGAUAUUAUACAACUGAAGCUGAUUCUGAUUAUUCUGUAGUGUAGAUACUUCAAAGUUAUUUUGUCCCUGAAUUUUCAGACCAAAUGAUCCUAAAUGUGUGAUUUAUAAUCAAAGAGGGGAUUAUUGGAAUCUGUUGUUCUCUAUGUUUUAGUAAGAUUUACUUGAAUUAAUGAGUUUUGGCAAGAGUGAAUUUGAAUUUGUAGCUUCACUAUUAUAUAACAUAUUUUUGACUUGCAUUUUUCACAAUAUGUGGUGUCAAAUUCCACCUACUGGUGGCAAAAUUAUAUAACAAUUAUAUAAUAUUUUGUCACCUUUCAUUUUUGGUAUAAAAGGAUCUGUUUCUACAAAAUCGCCAUCUUAGUUCUUGGCUCUUUGUCCAUUAGAUUCUGCUCCUCUCCUAGUAGCAAAACAAUUACUAUGUGCUCUGUGCCUGGUUCAUUGUUUUAACCUUUCAAUAAUUGUGAUGCAGCAAGUUUUCAACUUAUUCUUGGACUCCUGAAAGAACCUGUGGUUUGGGAAUCACCAGAUCCAAAACCACCCUGGAGGUCCUGUCCUGUAGCUUAGCACCUAACACCCUGAUCUCACUUCGCAGGAAUUUGCCACCCUUCCUACCCAUGUUAUUGGUACCAACUUGGAGCACAAUUUCUGCUGCUCACCCUCCCACUUAGGAACGACUCGAACCAAUAUAUCCCUGACCUUGGCACCCAGGAGUUAACAUAUCAUCCAGGAAUCUUGUUCUUCACCACAGAACCUCCUGCCUGUUUCUUUAACCAUUGAAUCCGCUAUUAUUACAGCUCACCUCAUCACCCCACUUCAGUUCUGAGCAACAGAGCCAUACUCAGUGCCAAAAACCUGACAGCUGUAGCUUUUGUCUGCUAGUUCAACCCCUUCAACAGUAUCUAAAGCAGGCAUGGGCAAACUACGGCCCGGGGGCCAUAUGCGGCCCAUUAAGCUUUUUAAUCCGGCCCGCAGAACUUGAUGAAAUUAUAUUAAUAAACCUUGUUAACGUUUUUUCCCCGCACUUCUGGCGUUUACCCAAUAGAUGACGCACUCUGUAUACAUUUGUGGUGACCCAUUUCCUGGCACAUCCGAACCGGCUCACAAUUAGCCAGCGUUCCGGCUAAGGGAGAUA
Molecule: long non-coding RNA, 2747 nt
Organism: Hypanus sabinus (Atlantic stingray)
Lineage: Eukaryota; Metazoa; Chordata; Chondrichthyes; Myliobatiformes; Dasyatidae
Exons: 3
Source: RefSeq, a predicted model, not a curated record